This 377-nucleotide ribosomal RNA is filed under the name uncultured eukaryote. RNAcentral describes it as "partial 18S ribosomal RNA". It matches the Rfam family "Eukaryotic small subunit ribosomal RNA", at positions 592 to 976 of the family's 1831-position model. The record is from RNAcentral.
CAAUAGCGUAUAUUUAAGUUGUUGCAGUUAAAAAGCUCGUAGUUGGAUUUCGGGCGGGUGACGGCGGUCCGCCUCUGGUGUGCACUGCCGGCAUCCGCCUUUCUGUCGGGGACGGGCUCCUGGGCUUCAUUGCUUGGGACUCGGGUUCGACGUGGUUACUUUGAGUAAAUUAGAGUGUUCAAAGCAGGCGAUCGCCCUGAAUACAUUAGCAUGGAAUAGCACGAUAGGACUCUGGCCUAUUUUGCUGGUCUGUAGGACCGGAGUAAUGAUUGAUAGGGACGGUUGGGGGCAUCCGUAUUCUCAAGCGAGAGGUGAAAUUCUUGGACCUUGGGAAGACGAACAGCUGCGAAAGCGUUUGCCUAGGACGUUCUCUUUAA